GUUUGACUGAUGGUAUGACAUGAGAAUGGCUAGCACAGUGUGAAUUGAUGAUAUUCAUGAACAGGAUGUCUCUGCGUGCUAUCCGCAGGAGAAUCGAAUUUGUAUUAGGUAGCGAGAAUAACGUCUACCAGUACUCAGUAGCCACAGCAAUUCAACGCCUUCGCUGGAUGAAAGGUCGUCGGCAGGCAGAAAGAAGAAACAAGUAGAACCAAAAAGGGAAAAAC
RNAcentral lists this unclassified non-coding RNA (224 nucleotides) under Hevea brasiliensis (rubber tree). Lineage: Eukaryota; Viridiplantae; Streptophyta; Magnoliopsida; Malpighiales; Euphorbiaceae. The record is from RNAcentral.